Molecule: ribosomal RNA, 455 nt
Filed under: uncultured bacterium
Lineage: Bacteria
Description: bacterial SSU rRNA
Rfam family: Bacterial small subunit ribosomal RNA
Source: RNAcentral
AUUGAACGCUGGCGGCAGGCCUAAUACAUGCAAGUCGAACGGUAACAUAAAAGAAGCUUGCUUCUUUUGAUGACGAGUGGCGGACGGGUGAGUAAUAUUUGGGAAACUACCUGAUAGAGGGGGACAACAGUUGGAAACGACUGCUAAUACCGCAUAAAGCCUGAGGGUGAAAGCAGCAAUGCGCUAUCAGAUGUGCCCAAACGGGAUUAGCUAGUAGGUGAGGUAAAGGCUCACCUAGGCGACGAUCUCUAGCUGGUCUGAGAGGAUGAUCAGCCACAUUGGGACUGAGACACGGCCCAGACUCCUACGGGAGGCAGCAGUAGGGAAUAUUGCACAAUGGAGGAAACUCUGAUGCAGCGACGCCGCGUGAGUGAAGAAGUAUCUCGGUAUGUAAAACUCUAUCAGCAGGGAAGAUAAUGACGGUACCUGACUAAGAAGCACCGGCUAAAUACGUG